UCCCUGGUGGUCCAGCAGUUAGGACUUGGCACUAUCACUGCCGAGGGUCCAGGUUCCAUCCCUGGUUGGGGAA
Molecule: non-coding RNA, 73 nt
Organism: Balaenoptera musculus (blue whale)
Lineage: Eukaryota; Metazoa; Chordata; Mammalia; Artiodactyla; Balaenopteridae
Source: the annotation of a RefSeq genome assembly